This 303-nucleotide long non-coding RNA is filed under the name Lathyrus oleraceus (garden pea). RNAcentral describes it as "Pisum sativum (pea) long non-coding RNA (PSAT_LNC015258)". Lineage: Eukaryota; Viridiplantae; Streptophyta; Magnoliopsida; Fabales; Fabaceae. The record is from RNAcentral.
AUCCUUAAACCUGUUUGGGUUUCCCAUACCGAUCAUUAUUCAUAUCUAUAAGGAGCCUUCUUAAACAAGGCGUCCUUAUAUUUGGCAUUAUCCUUAAACCCAUAUGUGGGUUAUAUAUCCAUCAUAAUCUCUAAACCCAUGUGGGUUCUUCUAUCUAUCACUAUUCUAAUGUGACACUUGCAUUGCAUCUGAAAAAAACUUUUAGCAUACCUUCAAAAGUAAAAAUUAAAAAAAGAAAAAAAUAUUUUUGCAUACCCAUGCAUUUGCAUACAUACACAUACAUUUUCAUAUCGUUUCUGAUUU